GAUGAACGCUGGCGGCGUGCCUAAUACAUGCAAGUCGAGCGAACAGACGAGGAGCUUGCUCCUCUGACGUUAGCGGCGGACGGGUGAGUAACACGUGGAUAACCUACCUAUAAGACUGGGAUAACUUCGGGAAACCGGAUCUAAUACCGGAUAAUAUAUUGAACCGCAUGGUUCAAUAGUGAAAUACGGUUUUGCUGUCACUUAUAGAUGGAUCCGCGCUGCAUUAGCUAGUUGGUAAGGUAACGGCUUACCAAGGCGACGAUGCGUAGCCGACCUGAGAGGGUGAUCGGCCACACUGGAACUGAGACACGGUCCAGACUCCUACGGGAGGCAGCAGUAGGGAAUCUUCCGCAAUGGGCGAAAGCCUGACGGAGCAACGCCGCGUGAGUGAUGAAGGUCUUCGGAUCGUAAAACUCUGUUAUUAGGGAAGAACAAAUGUGUAAGUAACUAUGCACGUCUUGACGGUACCUAAUCAGAAAGCCACGGCUAACUACGUG
RNAcentral lists this ribosomal RNA (497 nucleotides) under uncultured bacterium. RNAcentral's name for it is "partial 16S ribosomal RNA". It matches the Rfam family "Bacterial small subunit ribosomal RNA", at positions 28 to 507 of the family's 1533-position model. The record is from RNAcentral.